Molecule: ribosomal RNA, 253 nt
Filed under: uncultured bacterium
Lineage: Bacteria
Description: partial 16S ribosomal RNA
Rfam family: Archaeal small subunit ribosomal RNA
Source: RNAcentral
UACCAGCACCCCGAGUGGUCGGGACGAUUAUUGGGCCUAGAGCAUCCGUAGCCGGUUUUACAAGUCCUCCGUUAAAUCCAGCUGCUUAACAGAUGGGCUGCGGAGGAUACUAUAAGACUAGGAGGCAGGAGAGGCAAGCGGUACUCAGUGGGUAGGGGUAAAAUCCGUUGAUCCAUUGAAGACCACCAGUGGCGAAGGCGGCUUGCCAGAAUGCGCUCGACGGUGAGGGAUGAAAGCUGGGGGAGCAAACCGG